Chlorocebus sabaeus (green monkey) is the source of this 3291-nucleotide non-coding RNA. Lineage: Eukaryota; Metazoa; Chordata; Mammalia; Primates; Cercopithecidae. The record is from RefSeq and is a predicted model, not a curated record.
AUGAGGGAGUGGUGGGUCCAGGUGGGUCCGGGUGGGGCUUGCUGCUUACCCGCACAUCCCGCCCCCUCAGCUCUCACCUGAUCUUCAAUCAUGGAAGUCUUCAGACAAGUUUUUCACUUACAAGGGACUGCGUAUCUUCUACCAAGACUCUGUGGGUGUGGAUGGAAGUCAGGAGAUAGUUGUGGUUUUACACGUUUUCCAACAUCCAGCUACGAUUUGUACAAUAUUUGGGAAGGUCUGACCUUGAGGUUUCAUCGAGUGAUUGCCCUUGAUUUCUUUAGGCGUUGGCUUCAGUGACAAACCGAGACCACAUCACUAGUCCAUAUUUGAGCAGGUCAGCAUCGUGGAAGCACUUUUGCGGCAUCUGGGGCUCCAGAACCACAGGAUCAAGUCUCAUGACUAUGGAGAUAAUUGUUGCUCAGGAGCUUCUCUACAGGUACAGGCAGAAUCGAUCUGGUCGGCAUACCAUAUAGAGUCUGUCUGUCAAAUGGAGGUAUCUUCCCUGAGACUCGCCGUCCUCUCCUUCUCCAACAGCUACUCAAAGAUAGAGGUGUGCUAUCACCCAUCCUCACACAACUGAUGAACUUCUUUGUAUUCUCUCGAGGUCUCACCGCAGUCUUUGGGCUGUAUACUUGGCCCUCUGAGAGUGAGCUGUGGGACACGUGGGCAGGGAUCCGCAACAAUGACGGGAACUUAGCCAUUGAUGGUCUCUUACAGUACAUCAAUCAGAGGAAGAAGUUCAGAAGGCGCUGGGUGGGAGCUCUUGCCUCUGUAACUAUCCCUAUUCAUUUUAUCUAUGGGCCAUUGGAUCCUGUAAAUCUCUAUGCAGAGUUUUUGGAGCUGUACGGGAAAACGCUGCCGUGGUCCGCAGUGUCGAUUCUGGAUGACCACCACAUAAGCCACUAUCCACAGCUAGAGGAUGCCAUUGGCUCCCUGAAUGCAUAUAUGGGCUUCAUCACCUCCUUCUGAACUGGAAUGAGUAGCUUCCCUGUAUUACCUUCUCUACUCCCUUAUCUGUUGUGUAUUCCACUUAGGAAGAAUGCCCAAAAGAGGUCCUGGCCAUCAAACACUAUUCUCUCACAAAGUCCACUUUACUCAAAUUGGUGAACAGUGUAUAGGAAGAAGCCAGCAGGAGCUCUAAGGUUGACAUAAUCCACCUCCCAUUACUUUGACAACUGAUCGAAUGUAUGGACCUGGCUUUGUUUUUGUGUUAUUAGGAAUUUCUGAUGAGCAUUACUAUUCACUGAUUCAGAAAGACGUUCUUUUGUGUGGAAGACUUUUCUUUAACUCUUUGGACUUCUCUGAAAUACUUAGAAAUGCUCAUUUCUGGCCCAGCCCCAGUAGGAAUUCUAUAGUAAGAAUAAGGAGAAGUGGACCUCCUUCCCUCUCCUUGAAUGGCUUUAUGGGCACACUCUUUUGAACAGUUCUUUAAGCAACACAGAGCUGAGUCCUCUUUGUCAUACCUUUGGAUUUAGUUUCAUCAGCUGUUUUUAGUUAUAAACAUUUUGUUAAAAUAGAUAUUAGUUUAAAUAAUAUAGUAUUCUAAGCAUGAUUUAAGAUUAUGAUUUACCUACACAUUAUAUAUAUAUUAUAAAGAUACUAAACCAGCAUACCCUUACUCUGCCAGAGUAGUGAACCUAAUUAAACAUGUUUGAUUUCUGAAUAAAUUAAACUAAAUCCAAACUAUUUCCUAAAAUCACAGAACAUUAAGGGCCAAUAGCAUCCGUGUCAGAGAUUUACUGUUACUAGAUGGGGAGACCAAUUCUAACAGCAAAUAACAGUCUGAGACUCCUCAUACCUCUGUGCUUAGAAACAUAUCUCUCUUGAGCUACUCUAGAGGGGAAGGGAUUCUUGUGCAGUCCAAGUCACUGUGCUGAAUGUACAUUGAUUCCUUUAUGACAACUGCUUAACUCCCCAUUGCCUGUCCCAGAGAGGCUUUCCAAUGUAGCUCAGUAUUUCCUGUACUUUACAGACAGGAAAGUUCCAGAAACUUUAAGAACAAAUUCUGAAAGACCUAUGAGCAAAUGAUGCUGAAUACUUUUUUUUUAAGCCACAUUUCAUUGUCUUAGUCAAAGCAUGAUUAUUAAGUGAUUAUUUAAAAUUCUUUUUUUUAAAUUAGCAACUUCAAGUACAACAAUUUUGAAACUGGAAUAAGUGUUUAUUUCCUAUUAAUACAAAUUGUGACAAAAAAAGAAAUAGAAUCAAGACCUUGCUCAUUGAUAUAAUGGGAAGAAAGAUAGGGAUCUAGUAGGAAUCUAAUGGUUUAUACCUGCAAGACUGAUGGGACCCUCAGCAGAAAUUUGGAAACAGGAGGAAAAUAACUUGAUGGAGGUGGGUGAGGACUGUGGAAAGAAUGGGACACUUCAGAGGGAGAAUGUUUAGCUGUUAAGUUUAAGCCAUGUAAAGUUGUAAGUUCUGGAAGGAAUGUGCAAGUAAGGAUAUCCAAAGGAGAUAGAAAGUUAGAGAUGGAGUUCACUCACAGAAGUGGUCAAAUAUGGAAAUAAGGAUUUUGAAGUCACUAACAUAGAAGUAAUAUUUAAAUCUAUAGGCCUAGAUGAGACUGCAAAUUUCAUACCAUUAGAUUGACCUUCCCAUAUUCUUGAGUCAAUAGAAAGAAUGUUGAUCUAAUUUUACUGGCUUCACAUUUCUGGGAAAAAAAAUAAACUACUACUAAUAAAUAUAAUUCAGGUAAGAAUUUGAAAAGUUCUUCAGGAAGAAGGAACACUACUCUUUAAGGAUGAAAUUGGUGAUAGUUGUGAAUUUUGAAUCUUUCAGGAGUCUUAUGUUAACAUAUCCUACAGUUUUUAUAUCUCAUUCCUGGAAGUUCACCAUGUAAAAAUAUAAGUGAAAACUUGACUUACAGUGGAACAAUUAAGAAGCACAUACUUAAAGAUGAUCUUCUGAAAGGCAUUAUAAGAGUUUUGCAAUUUUUAAAGAGAGGUUUCUAUUCUCUUUGCCUUAACAUGCUCAGACGUGAAUUUUUAGUAAAGAAUUAAUGAAUGAAAUCCUUUAUGAAGGUUUUCAAGUGCAGUUUUUGAACAAAGUUUCCAGCUUGCAGAUAUAUUGCUUUUUUACUAUCUAUACAGGUAAAUUUGAACUAAUUCAUUAUACCAGUGGUUCCCAGCCUUUUUGGCACCAGAGUCCAGUUUGGUGGAAGACAGAUUUUUCCAGAGACCAGGGUUGGGGGUGGUUUUGGGAUGAUUCAAGUGCAUUACAUUUAUUGUGCACUUCGUGUCUAUUAUCAUUAUAUUGCAAUACAUAAUGAAAUAAUUAUACAACUCACCAUAACAC